AGCGAACGCUGGCGGCAGGCUUAACACAUGCAAGUCGGGCGGGCACUUUCGGGUGUCAGCGGCGGACGGGUGAGUAACGCGUGGGAACGUGCCCUCUGGUUCGGAAUAACUCAGGGAAACUUGAGCUAAUACCGGAUACGCCCUUUUGGGGAAAGGCUUGCUGCCGGAGGAUCGGCCCGCGUCUGAUUAGCUAGUUGGUGAGGUAACGGCUCACCAAGGCGACGAUCAGUAGCUGGUCUGAGAGGAUGAUCAGCCACACUGGGACUGAGACACGGCCCAGACUCCUACGGGAGGCAGCAGUAGGGAAUAUUGGACGAUGGGCGCAAGCCUGAUCAAGCCAUGCCGGGUGAGUGAUGAAGGCCUUAGGGUUGUAAAGCUCUUUUAUCCGGGACGAUAAUGACGGUACCGGAGGAAUAAGCCCCGGCUAACUUCGUG
This 435-nucleotide ribosomal RNA is filed under the name uncultured bacterium. RNAcentral's name for it is "partial 16S ribosomal RNA". It matches the Rfam family "Bacterial small subunit ribosomal RNA", at positions 29 to 507 of the family's 1533-position model. The record is from RNAcentral.